AGAGUUUGAUCCUGGCUCAGAUUGAACGCUGGCGGCAUGCCUUACACAUGCAAGUCGAACGGCAGCACGGGAGCAAUCCUGGUGGCGAGUGGCGAACGGGUGAGUAAUGUAUCGGAACGUACCUUUCAGUGGGGGAUAACGUAGCGAAAGUUACGCUAAUACCGCAUAUUCUGUGAGCAGGAAAGCAGGGGAUCGCAAGACCUUGCGCUGAUUGAGCGGCCGAUAUCAGAUUAGCUAGUUGGUGAGGUAAAGGCUCACCAAGGCGACGAUCUGUAGCGGGUCUGAGAGGAUGAUCCGCCACACUGGAACUGAGACACGGUCCAGACUCCUACGGGAGGCAGCAGUGGGGAAUUUUGGACAAUGGGGGCAACCCUGAUCCAGCCAUGCCGCGUGAGUGAAGAAGGCCUUCGGGUUGAAAAGCUCUUUCAGCCGGGAAGAAAUCACAUGGGUUAA
Molecule: ribosomal RNA, 453 nt
Filed under: uncultured bacterium
Lineage: Bacteria
Description: bacterial SSU rRNA
Rfam family: Bacterial small subunit ribosomal RNA
Source: RNAcentral